CUUUCUCUUCUUCAGGUAACUCCCACUGGUGUCCUGUGGCAGCUGUGAACUGGAUUAAUGCUGUCUCUCCUGGUUUUUGAGUCAUUCUCAGAUACCCUGCAAGGAGUUAAGUUCCCUGCUAAUUUUUAACGACAUUGAGGCUUCCAGGAUGUUCUACCUGUGGAUAUGCUUGAGUCUGUUCUUUGCUCUACAAAGCACCGUAUCAUCAGAUCAAGCUGUGUCAGUGAAUUGCAGCAAGACUGCAGAAGUUGGACAAAGUGUGACUCUAAAUUGUACCAUAAAUUGGAAAGAUGGCUCAAACUGUAGAGUUUUGGAUAUAUAUACCAUGGAGAACAAAAGUGAGCGCAUACAAUGUAACAGCAGUUUGACAAAACACAUCUGUAAAGGGGAUCGUCUGAAGUAUGUGUCAGUGACCGUCCCAAGUGUCACGAAAGAGGUGAACGUUACAGUUGAAAUCAAUUCAGGCUGUGGUAUGGCUGAAUCCCAUCCUGUACAACUAUUCCCUACUGCAGGAAAUGGACAAGGAAUGCAGGAGAGGUCACAUGUGAUGGCCGUCGUACUCUGUGUUUUUCCCACAGCCGUGUCCAUUUUCUCUCUAUAGAAGUCACAGACACACAGAAAUGUAAGUGACACAGAUUCUGCGCUGGGAAUUAAAGACUGAUUGUGGUGUUAUGUGGCAUGUAUUUGUUGUUUAUGAAUGUGGAUCCACCUGCUUCCCAAAAACAUUACUCGAUAGGUUUAUACAAACAACAACAACGAGCACAGCUGCAGCUGAAUAUUGUCUUCUGUGCUCCUGAGAGGAGCUUUGUUACAGAAAUACUGUUUACUUUCAUUCAGUGAUGUGUGAACACUGCCUCUGUACAGCAUUUAUACUGUCAAAAUGUACACAAGCCUACAAUGUCUCCAGUUCAUGGUGGGAUAG
Long non-coding RNA from Neolamprologus brichardi, 922 nucleotides. RefSeq lists it as uncharacterized. NCBI's taxonomy places the organism in Eukaryota, Metazoa, Chordata, Actinopteri, Cichliformes, Cichlidae. The record is from RefSeq and is a predicted model, not a curated record.